RNAcentral lists this ribosomal RNA (389 nucleotides) under uncultured bacterium. RNAcentral describes it as "bacterial SSU rRNA". It matches the Rfam family "Bacterial small subunit ribosomal RNA", at positions 419 to 793 of the family's 1533-position model. The record is from RNAcentral.
CGGGUUGUAAAGCACUUUCAGUAGGGAGGAAGGUAGUGUAGUUAACACCUGCAUUAUUUGACGUUACCUACAGAAGAAAGCACCGGCUAACUCCGUGCCAGCAGCCGCGGUAAUACGGAGGGUGCGAGCGUUAAUCGGAAUUACUGGGCGUAAAGCGCAUGCAGGCGGCCUGUUAAGUCAGAUGUGAAAGACCCGGGGCGUUAACCUCGGAAUUGCAUUUGUAAACUAGGCAGGCUAGAGUCUUGUAGAGGGGGGUAGGAAUUUCAGGUGUAGCGGUGAAAUGCGUAGAGAUCUGAAGGAAUACCAGUGGCGAAGGCGGCCCCCUCGGACAAAGACUGACGCUCAGAUGCGAAAGCGUGGGGAGUAAACAGGAUUAGAUACCCUGGUAG